AACGGGUGAGUAACGCGUGGGCAACCAACCUUACACAGGGGGAUAACGCAGAGAAAUUUGCGCUAAUACCGCAUAAGCGCACAGGAUCACAUGAUCUGGUGUGAAAAACUCCGGUGGUGUAAGACGGGCCCGCGUCUGAUUAGCUAGUUGAUGAGGUAAGAGCUCACCAAGGCGACGAUCAGCAGCCGACCUGAGAGGGUGAUCGGCCACAUUGGGACUGAGACACGGCCCAAACUCCUACGGGAGGCAGCAGUGGGGGAUAUUGCACAAUGGAGGGAACUCUGAUGCAGCAAUGCCGCGUGAAGGAAGAAGGUUUUCGGAUUGUAAACUUCUAUCAGCAGGGAAGAA
This 348-nucleotide ribosomal RNA is filed under the name Lachnospiraceae bacterium oral taxon A61. Its description in RNAcentral is "bacterial SSU rRNA". It matches the Rfam family "Bacterial small subunit ribosomal RNA", at positions 101 to 449 of the family's 1533-position model. The record is from RNAcentral. Lineage: Bacteria; Bacillati; Bacillota; Clostridia; Lachnospirales; Lachnospiraceae.